This 468-nucleotide ribosomal RNA is filed under the name uncultured bacterium. Its description in RNAcentral is "partial 16S ribosomal RNA". It matches the Rfam family "Bacterial small subunit ribosomal RNA", at positions 28 to 507 of the family's 1533-position model. The record is from RNAcentral.
GACGAACGCUGGCGGCGUGCCUAACACAUGCAAGUCGAACGGAAAGGCCCUGCUUUUGUGGGUUGCUCGAGUGGCGAACGUGUGAGUAACACGUGAGUAACCUUCCCUUGACUUUGGGAUAACUUCAGGAAACUGGGGCUAAUACCGGAUAGGAGCUCCUGCUGCAUGGUGGGGUUUGGAAAGUUUCGGCGGUUGGGGAUGGACUCGCGGCUUAUCAGCUUGUUGGUGGGGUAGUGGCUUACCAAGGCUUUGACGGGUAGCCGGCCUGAGAGGGUGACCGGCCACAUUGGGACUGAGAUACGGACCAGACUCAUACGGGAGGCAGCAGUGGGGAAUAUUGCACAAGGGGCGGAAGCCUGAUGCAGCAACGCAGCGUGCGGGAUGAAGGUCUUGGGGUUGUGAACCGCUUUCGCCUGUGACGAGGAGUGAGUGACGGUAAUGGGUAAAGAAGCACCGGCUAACUACGUG